RNAcentral lists this long non-coding RNA (421 nucleotides) under Salvia miltiorrhiza (redroot sage). RNAcentral's name for it is "long non-coding RNA (SMIL_LNC012001)". Lineage: Eukaryota; Viridiplantae; Streptophyta; Magnoliopsida; Lamiales; Lamiaceae. The record is from RNAcentral.
GGGGUGUGUCUGGUCGGGCUGAGUGUGGAGGGAGGAAGGCGGUGGCUUGCUGCUAAUAGCGGCGGCUUCACUUCUGCCGGCUGGAUUCAGGGAGUGGACGGGAGAUAAGGAUAGCAGAGGGGGUGAUUAGGGUCUGGAGCGGCGGCGGCCAUGGCUCCGGUUAUGGUCGCCGGAAACGAGGAAGACGCGGCGAGGCAUAGGCCUUGUCGCUGCGGUCACCGGGAGAGGAGAGAGGGAGAUCUGUGAUUGUGUGUGUCUGGGUGUACAUCGCCAGGGAGAGAGAGAAAAUGGGAGAGUGAGAGGAGGGUGACACCGGUGGCGGUCGAAGGCGGCGAGGAAAAUGCCGAAGAGGGGAUUGGGUGGCGUUUGUCUGUGUGUGCCGGUGUGUGCGCGUAGAGAGUGAGAGAGCAGAGAGGGAAAU